Molecule: small nucleolar RNA, 131 nt
Organism: Sciurus vulgaris (Eurasian red squirrel)
Lineage: Eukaryota; Metazoa; Chordata; Mammalia; Rodentia; Sciuridae
Source: Ensembl
AGCCUCAUUCUAGAUGAGAAUGGGCACCAUUGAUCAGUGUCCAAAAUUGGUCAAUGUGGCUACGUUGACACAGGUUCUGCUUCCAUCAUAGUGUAUGUAUUGCAGUGGUGACCAUGAGACCUGUAACAUUU